RNAcentral lists this ribosomal RNA (520 nucleotides) under uncultured bacterium. Its description in RNAcentral is "bacterial SSU rRNA". It matches the Rfam family "Bacterial small subunit ribosomal RNA", at positions 917 to 1440 of the family's 1533-position model. The record is from RNAcentral.
GGGCCCGCACAAGCAGCGGAGCAUGUGGUUUAGUUCGAAGCAACGCGAAGAACCUUACCUAGACUUGACAUCCCCUGCAUAACCCAGAGAUGGGCGAAGUCCUUCGGGACAGGGUGACAGGUGGUGCAUGGUUGUCGUCAGCUCGUGUCGUGAGAUGUUGGGUUAAGUCCCGCAACGAGCGCAACCCUUAUCAUUAGUUGCUGCCAUUUAGCUGGGCACUCUAGUGAGACUGCCCGGGUUAACCGGGAGGAAGGUGGGGAUGACGUCAAAUCAUCAUGCCCCUUAUGUCUAGGGCUACACACGUGCUACAAUGGUGAGUACAAAGAGAUGCAAGAUCGCAAGGUGGAGCCAAACUCAAAAACUCAUCCCAGUUCGGAUUGUAGGCUGCAACUCGCCUACAUGAAGCCGGAGUUGCUAGUAAUCGCGAAUCAGCAUGUCGCGGUGAAUACGUUCCCGGGCCUUGUACACACCGCCCGUCACACCAUGAGAGUUGGUAACACCCGAAGUCCGUGAGGUAACC